RNAcentral lists this ribosomal RNA (219 nucleotides) under uncultured bacterium. RNAcentral's name for it is "partial 16S ribosomal RNA". It matches the Rfam family "Bacterial small subunit ribosomal RNA", at positions 1281 to 1500 of the family's 1533-position model. The record is from RNAcentral.
GAACAUCUCAGUUCAGAUUGCAGGCUGCAACUCGCCUGCAUGAAGUCGGAAUGCUAGUAAUCGUAGGUCAGCAUACUACGGUGAAUACGUUCCCGGGCCUUGUACACACCGCCCGUCAAACCAUGAGAGUUGGCAACACCCGAAGUCGGUAGUCUAACCGCAAGGAGGACGCCGCCGAAGGUGGGGUUGAUGAUUAGGGUUAAGUCGUAACAAGGUAUC